ACGCUCGACACCUACGGGAAGCAGCAGUGGGGAAUAUUGCACAAUGGGGGAAACCCUGAUGCAGCGACGCCGCGUGAGGGAAGAAGGUUUUCGGAUUGUAAACCUCUGUCCUUGGUGAAGAAAGCAGACGGUAGCCAAGGAGGAAGCCACGGCUAACUACGUGCCAGCAGCCGUGGUAAUCUGAGCGGGCUGGCAAGGC
Molecule: ribosomal RNA, 199 nt
Filed under: uncultured bacterium
Lineage: Bacteria
Description: partial 16S ribosomal RNA
Rfam family: Bacterial small subunit ribosomal RNA
Source: RNAcentral